GGUUAGUAGGCGGCGGAAAUUAGAGAAUUUUUUACUGUUUCGAGUUCAGUGCGAUGUUAUAAAUGCGUUAAAGCCAUUGCCCGCUCAAAUAUAUUGCCCGAUGUUGAUUCAUUUUGCCAGCAAUUUUCCACGCAUUUGCGCCUUGAACAAAAAACUCCACUUUCGGUGGAGAUGCGCCCCCAAAGUCAUUAACAUUUAACCGAUCAAAGCGCCGAGGUGAGCGAAACAGGUAAAAUCACCCAUUCAAUGCCUCAACCCGCAAUCGGAGCCACAAAAACAGCCAGGAAGAGCAACAAUCGAUGGCGCCAAAAAAGAGAAGAGCGGAAUAUCAAAUUGCAACGCAAAAGUGAGGUCUUUAAUGCCACAGCCGCGGAAACACGUGCUCUAUCAGAUACCCUGUAAAUACUAAACAGUAGCAAGUAUAUAGCAUAGUUUUCUAAAUUCUGACUAGAUAUCAUUUAGUUUUUCUUGUUUUAACAAAAGUGCGGGCUUUAAUGCCACAGUCGCUGAAUCAGAAUCUAUCAGAUCAGAAUCUAUCAGAUACCCUCUCAACAUGUAUCGUGAAUCUUAAAAAAAAGGGUAUGAGAUAGUGUUGUCAAGAGCGGCAUAAGCGCGAGUUUGGUUCCUGCAUUUGCGUUUAAUUACGGAAUAAUCCAAAGCGAUUGCGGAACAGGAAAAUCGAUAUGGAGUGGUAAUGGUGGAUGGGCGGCAGUUUCGGGCGGCUGUGGCCAUCCGUGUCAGUCCCAAUGAUCCAGCGGCGGACAGGCCGUUGACGCUGCUAACCCAAUUAAGCUGUCGCCCGACUGAGCAGACAGCAUCCUUGCACGGCCCCUCAUGGAGUCCAUGGAGUCCACCCCCUGCUCCUCCACACCACCCCCACUGCUUUGGCGCCGGGAACCACAUCCACCGAGUAGCAACUGUUGGGUCUGCCGUGAACUGGCACUGUGCCCAAAUAAACCGCAGGAGCAAAAGCCACCGCUCCUCCAUGGCCACCAUCUCCUGGCAUCGCCCUGCUCAUUCGCUUCGUGGCGCUUCAAUAGCAAUUUGGUUAAACUCCUUUUUAAUUUCAGCCGCACUUCCGUCUCACCGCAGUUGGCUCCUUGGAGUGAAGACAGACUCUGAGAUGUCCUGAGAUUUAUUAUAAGUGCUUUUAUAGGGUUCAGCCAAUAAUAUCCGAGAGGAAUAUUAAAAGUAUGCUUUAAAUCGAAAAGUUUAAAGGUCUUAAAUAAAAAAUGCAUCCCAUGCUAAUCCGAAAUAGUAA
Drosophila yakuba is the source of this 1261-nucleotide long non-coding RNA. RefSeq lists it as uncharacterized. NCBI's taxonomy places the organism in Eukaryota, Metazoa, Arthropoda, Insecta, Diptera, Drosophilidae. The record is from RefSeq and is a predicted model, not a curated record. The transcript is spliced from 2 exons.